AUGCACUAUAAUAAUAUGGUUGUCUUCUGCUCUUCAUGCAGCAACCAAUUUUGGUCAGUGGCCAUAUGCUGGUUAUCAGCCAAAUCGUCCUACCACAAGCCGCAGAUUCAUGCCUGAACCUGGUACUCCUGAGUAUGAAGAGCUGAAGUCUAAUCCUGACAAGGCUUUCUUGAAAACUAUCACAGCCCAAUUCCAGACUCUACUUGGUCUAUCCACCAUUGAGAUUUUAUCAAGGCACACUACUGAUGAAGUUUAUCUCGGACAAAGGGAGAAUCCUCAAUGGACAAAGGACACAGAACCACUUGAAGCUUUUAAAAAAUUUGGACAAACUCUGUCUGAAAUUGAGGAUCAAAUUCUACAGAUGAAUGGUGAUCCAAAGUGGAGAAACAGGGUUGGACCAGUUAACAUACCAUACACCUUGCUUUUCCCUACGAGUGAAAGUGGAAUAACUGGCAAAGGAAUUCCAAAUAGUAUAGCAAUAUGAUUCUCACCAUAUCCAAUUUGAUUCUUGUAUACAAAUACAAUUGUCCAAAAUAAGGAUAUUCUCUACAUAUUGAUUUAGACAUCCUAUAUUAUUAGCAAUGUCUUUGUCUAAUGCAUGAUUGGUUCUUAGAUUUGUGAUUAUAAUCUGAAUUUCAAACUUUAUUCCAUGUACCUGUAAAGAAAGAAAAGAAAAUUAAUUAAAAAGAAAUUUGAUGGGGGAAGACAAAAGACAAGAUCAUCAAAUUGAUGCCCACUAUAAAAUAGACUAUUAGGUAUUGGUGUGUCUUGGGGUCCGAGGGCUAGAUGUGGAAUUGAAACCCCAUUCGGAACAACAUAAAGGAGUUUUUGGAGUUCAAGCAUUUAUACUUAAUAUCGUGAUUUAGAUUAAAAUAUUGUUUAAUAAUUUUUUUAGUAAUUUUUUUGAGCUUAAUAAUUUUCAAAUUAAAUUAUACUUGAUGAAAGAGUGGUAGUAAGCGUAAAUAUUUGACAAAAAGUGAUUUUCACCCUAAUAUUUGUGACCUGCGUACAAUAUGCUCGUUGACUUGUGAGAAACCAAUGCAAAGUGUUGUGACAUUGUAGAUUACCUUUUAGUACAUAACUAGUGAGACGGCCUGCGCGUUGCGCAGGAGCGCUAAUAUUUUCCGUGUUAAGUUGCUUAAUUUUUAACCGUUAUAUAUUUCUUAUAAUGUAGAGAGUUAUAUAAUUAUUAUAAGUCUGACUUGAAUUAUAAAAUAAUAGUGCGGUAAAUUGGUUGGGUGAAUAUAGUGUUAAUAGUUUGUGAAGUAUGAAGGAUAUUUUGUACUAUAGUGGUUAAUAAAGUACUAUAAUUGAGACAAUGCAGUUUGUGAAGUACAUUUUGUGUGGUAUGAUUUGUAUAAAUUAUGUAGUCUGGAUGAGAUAAUUAUAAAGAUACCCGUCUAUAUUUAUGUAUAUCUCUAUUACUCACUAAAUUCCAUAAAUAUGGGCCUAUUUCCUUCUUCUUUUUUUGCACAAAUUAAAACAUUUAAUCAAUAUAAUCAUAACAAUUAUUUUUCUUUCAUAUUUUUGUAAAAUGCCGCUCACUAAUAUUAGAUCAUUAAUCCACAUUAAGAUCCAUGUAUUAUACAUUGUUUUUGAAAUUUAAAGUACUUUAAUUUUUUUUAAUGUAAGAAACAAUCUAAUUAAUCUUGCAUGUUUGACUAAAAGAAUAAUAAAAAAAUAGCAUACAACAUUGCUUUUCAAUUUAAAGCAAUUUUAAGCCAUUAUGAAAAAUGAAUAUGCUAAAAAUUUUAUAAUAAUUAUAUAUAUACAUUAAAUAUGGAUAUUUAUUUAACAAUAUAAAAGUGAGAGUUGCCCUAUAAACAGUGUUUUUUUGUCGAGCGGUUAUCCUGCAAUUGUUAUUAGAUAUCCAAGCUAUUAGUAAAUAACAAACUAAUUAUUCUUUUUUAUAGAAUGAAAAGAAUAAGAAUAAAAACAAGGGCAUUAAAAAUUUGUAAUAAUUAUAUAGAGUAAAUAUGGAUAUAUAGACUAAUAUAUCUUUAUAAUUGUAUGUUUUAAAAAGUAGUAGGAUUAGAAACCAUUUUAAGUCCAAACCCUUGACACCUUAACUGAUUUUGGUUAUUUGUGAUAACAAUGUUGGACUUCUCUCUCUCUCUUUUUUUUUCUUUUUCUGCUGUUCAAUUUUUAGGAAUCGUGCAAUCAAAAGCUACUCCUGAACAUGCUAAACAACCACUGCAUUCAACAAUUUUACAGAACACUAUUUUAUUUCAUUUUUUUUGCAAUAUAUGCAUUGAUCUUUUUUGCAAACAAUUUUAUUUCAUGUCAGAGUAAUAAAAUUCAUUUUUUAAAGUCACUAAUGCCAAUAAUAAUUUAUUAAUUAUUUCCUCAAUAAUUGUGUCUUUACAGAACACUUAACAAUUUUAUUUCAUGUUAAGCCAACAAUAAUUUAUUAAUUGUUUCCUCAAUAAUUGUGCAUUUACAGAAUACUUCAAAAGCAAAUAAUUAACCACAAAAUUAACUUUGUACUAAAAAUACAAGACUAACUUUUAAAUUUUGUUUAAAAAGUAAAAAAUAUCACUAAAUUCAACAUUCCAACUUAAAGAGCCUAAAUAAAAAGGUAUAUAAUAACAUUAAAUCACAUAAAUAUAUUGAUUGUAUAGUUAGAUGUAAGGAAUGUAGGCAACAAAGAAUAUAAAAGGCAUCGGAUAUUUAGUAAAAUAAAAGAAUAUAAAUAAGCAUGAAUAAAAGUAAAAAUGGGAAAAAUUUAACAAGCAUCAUGAUUAAGAGGAAGGAAAAUGUGGGAAUUCUCAUCUUGUAAUAGGUUUCCAAAUGACAUGAACAAAUCAAAAGUACAAAACAGUAGAUUACUCAAAGUCAAAAUGGCAAUUUUCCAACGGAGAAGAGGAGGUUUCAAAGAAACAUGUAGAAACAAAAAGUGAGGCAUCCACAAAAGUGAACAAUGAGUCAACAAAAAAUAGGGUCAGAAGACAACAAAAUUACCAAACAAUCAAGCAACUAUAGCAUGCAGCUUGAACGAAGGAAAAAAGGAAUGGCAUAACUGAAAAAUAAGACAAACCUAAGGCUAAACUAAUACUCAAGAAUAGCUAAGAUGCCUAUCUCUGCGGAUCACAAUUAGGCAAAAAUGAUGCAAACAAAGAGGAACAAAGAACAAAUAAAUUACAAAGAAACCACUCAACUAUAACAUGCAUCUUUCGGUCUCCUGAGUCCUGAGUAAGGCAGAAACAGGAAAUGGCAUUAGCGAAAAAUGAAGGACUACUAAGGCUAAUUCUAAUGACAUAAGGAACUGCCAAAGACUGAUGCAAAUGGAGGUGCCGAAAAGCCAACAAAACCAACAAAUACAAAAGCCAUCAAAGUUGCUGAAAAUUACGUGAUAACCGCUCGACCAAAAUGGCACUGUUCAUCCUCCAACUCCCGCUUUUAUAUAGUUAGAUAUUCCCUUCUAUAUAUUAUCAGAAUAAGGGAAACUUGAGAAGAGAUAUAUAGUAGUGUUUCAAGUGUUAUUAUUAUUAUUAUUGAUUAAUCUUUUCUAUAUUGACAGUGUAUACACUGCUAGUGUUGGAUGAAUGACAACGACAUAAAAUUUGAAUUUGAAAUCUAACUUUUGCACAUGUGUCAUGGAUCUAACGAUAAUAGUAUAUAUAUUGUAAGUGUAUAUAAGACUUACUCUAUUAUUAUUAUAAGUAAAUUUUAUAUACAUUGACAGUGUAUCACCGUUGGAUUUAUGACAUAUGUAUGAAAAUUGAAUUUCAAAUUCAAAUUUUAUAUAGUUGUCAUUCAUUUAAUACUGAUAUUUUAUAUACUACUAGUGUAGGAAAGAUUAAUCCUAUUAUUAUUAUCCUCACCGACCAACUUGGGACAAUAUAAAAUGACUUUUGUUUCUUCUUUGUUCCAAGCUUUUUACGAAAGGAAACAACUGGUGUCAAAGCAAGGAUAUAACUAAUAUUGCAGAACAAUCAUACCGUUUAUUAUUAUUUUUUUUUGUUUUUUGGGGGUUCAAAGGCUAUACGGAAAAGGGAAGAUGAAAGGAUUUGAUGCUCAGAUUAGGUACAUCAUCGUCACUUGAUUAAUAUCUCUAUCAAAAACUAAAGGCUAUUAUAUUAUUUGCAUUCGAAAACGUAUAACAAAGAAAUUAAUUAAAAAAAAAGAGAGAAGGAAUUGCGUACGUAUAAUAGUCCCGGGACCCCAAAGGUCCUCGAGAUCGCUUGGUCAAACAAACCUAGUGCUAUCAAAGACUUCUAGAAUAUAUGCUUCUAAUCGUAGAUAGCUUCUAGAUUGACCAUAAUCGUUUAUCUUAAGUAUUGUAAUUUAAACGCCUAAUUAAAAAGAUAUGAUAGAAAUUUACAUUUUCCUUCCCUUUAAACCCAAGUUUCUCUUCCCUCUCUCACUCUACAAACUAGGCUUUACUUUCUCCGUGGAUAGAGCUGUUAAGUCAAUCAAGUAGCUCGAAAGCUCGUUAGAGCUCGACUCGUUAAGGCUCGAGCUCGGCUCGUUAAUUUUGGUUAACGAGUCGAGCUCGAGCUCGAAACAUGCUCGUUUAGUUAACGAGCCGAGCUUACUCGGCUCGUUUGAUACUCGAGUAGCUCGUUAGAGCUCGUUAAUGAAGGGCAUAUUUGUCAUUUUAGAAAUCAAAAUUAUAAAAAUUAAAAAUUAUAGGUUUUUAUUAAGGUUAAUUUUCACGAGCUCGAGUUCGAGCUCGUGAAGCUCGACUCGUUUGUGAUAAACGAGUCGAGCUCGCAAACGAGUCGAGCUCGAGCUCGAACUCGAGCCACAUGUACACUUAACGAGUCGAGUUCGAACACAUUUUAAAGCUCGUUUUCCUAACGAGCUCGAGUCAAGCUCGGCUCGAAUUGAACUCGAGUCGAGCUCGGCAGCCAAAUACUCGGCUCGAUUAACAGCUCUAUCCGUGGAUGGAGACCUUCUCCUCUUAUAUUUUUGUGUAUAGCAAAGUAUUUUGUAGGAUUUUUUAAUGAGAAUUUUCUUCUCACUUAGAAUAUUUCGUGGGAGUUUUCUUUUCUUCAAGAUCUCAUAGUCGGAGUUUUUUUAAUUUUUUUGUCUCUUUAUUGUUAAAUUUGAGAUUAUUUUUGUAAGAUCAAUGGCGAAUUUCUAAGAAUAUUAUCAAAAUUGAAAAAGUUCAGAAAAUUGAGGUUCCAUGCGAGUGGUUGCUGAAUAAGGGGUCGCCACAAUUGAGAGGUGAGACUACACCAAAAAACACUUUUCAUUUUCAUUUAUUUUGGUUUCAUGUACUUUGGGUCAGCUUUGUUUUUUAAAAAAGUUGCCGAAAUUGAGCUUUUUUGUCCUUAUGUGUCGAAAGCCGAGCUUACUACCUUUUUUUUCGAAUGUAAUUUUGGAAUUGCAGUAGCGAGCUCUUACUACCUUUUUGGAAUUGCUUUCCUACCUUUUUUUUUUUUUUCGAAGCAUUCUUACUUUUUUUUUUUUUUGUCGAAACGAUAGAUGUCCUAUAACCUAAUCUAAGGGGAAGGGGAGGGGUUCGAUGUAAGUACAGACUCCAUCGAUGAAGGUCAAUUAAGACCGCCACAAAUUGUGGCAAAUUUGUGGGAGGCAGGGAUUGAACCCUGACCUCCAGCAUCACCUUUAAUGGUGAUGACCACUGGACCAGAUGGCCAGUGGCUUUUGGAAGCAUUCUUACUACCUUUUAUUAUUUCAUAUGUAAUUUUUAAUAAGUUAUUUAAUGUUUAAUUUCAUAUAUAAUAAGUUAUUUAUUAUUUCAUAUUAAUUUUUAAUAAGUGUCGCCACUCAUUCUAGUUUAUUUUUAUUGUGAAGCAUUCUUCGUACCUUAUUAUUUCAUAUGUAAUUUUUAAUAAGUUAUUUAAUAUUUAAUAAAAGGCAGCAUGAUCAAAUUUUUUCCUACCGUUUUUACGUAACCUUAAAUAGGCAUAAUUAGGAUUUUACGUAUUACAUGAAACACCUGAACAAGUUCAUGCACUACCUCGGAGGCCCGAACGAUUACAAUUAGGACGAGAUCUACCACAUAGGAGAAUUCAUUGGAAAUGUGGUUGUUCUAUCACUCCGCGAAAUAAAGGCAAGAGGCGCGUUGAUGGGUGAAAUAAUUAUCAAAACUCUCAUUUUAUUGCUAAUUAUUACAUUCUAUAAAUAUUGUUUAAUGUUGCAUUAUUUAUUAUUAUUCAAUUUAGCAUUACCAUUAAAAAAUUUAAAAAUAUGACUUAGGUAAAUUUUAGAAUGAUUAUAAUACCAUACCAAUUAUUUAAAUCCUAAACUCUAAUUAUGCCUAAUUUAUUAUUAUUUAAGUUUAUAUACUAAUUAUUACAUUCUAUAAAUAUUGUAUUAUUUAUCAUUGAUUGCGAUAAUAAUAUUAUAAAAUUUAAAAAUAUGACUUAAGUAAAUUUUAUUAGUAAUUUAAUAGCAUACUCGAUUAUCAUGUUAAUUUAUAAAUUUGACAUUAUUCUAAUAUCAUAUUUUAAAUUUUUGAUAAUUUUGGUUUAUAAUAGAAUUUUAGUAAUAUGAUUUAAGAAUUUUAAUUUAAAAAGUGUUACACUGUAAUUUAAAAAUUAGUAUUUCACGUAAUACAUAAAAUCCUAAUUAUGCCUAUUUAAGGUUACGUAAAAACGGUAGGAAAAAAUUUGGUCGCGCUGCCUUUUAUUAAAUAUUAAAUAACUUAUUAAAAAUUACAUAUGAAAUAAUAAGGUACGAAGAAUGCUUCGCAACAAAAAUAAACUAGAAUGAGCGGCGACACUUAUUAAAAAUUAAUAUGAAAUAAUAAAUAACUUAUUAUAUAUGAAAUUAAACAUUAAAUAACUUAUUAAAAAUUACAUAUGAAAUAAUAAAAGGCAGUAAGAAUGCUUCGAAAAAAAAAAAGGUAGGAAAGCAAUUCCAAAAAGGUAGUAAGAGCUCGCUACUGCAAUUCCAAAAUUACAUUCGAAAAAAAAAGGUAGUAAGCUCGGCUUUCGACACAUAAGGACAAAAAAGCUUCGCCGCUCAUCAGUUGAGCGGCGAAGCAAUUUCGGCAAGAUUCCUUCGCCUCUCAUUUCAUGAGCGGCGAAGGGUUUUUUCUUUUUUAAAAAAAAAAAAAGCUGACCCAAAGUACAUGAAACCAAAAUAAAUGAAAAUUAAAAGUGUUUUUUGGUGUAGCCUCACCUCUCAAUUGCGUCGACCCCUUAUUUAGCAACCCUCCUCCGAUACCCCCAAUUUUCUGAAAAUUUUCAAAUUUGACAAUAUUUUAAGAAAUUCGCCAAGAUCAAUGCAUUUAUUAGAUCUGAAAUUUCUUAGAUUCUCUUCUCAGACCUAAAAUUUUAGUGUGAACAAGUUAAAAAAUAGAUCUAAAAAAGGUGAUAUUAAUGAUAUGUACAGAUAUUUAUUGGGUUGCAUAUGAUUUAUCAAGCUUAUUCUUUAUAAUUAUUUUUCAAAUAUGUUACAUAAGUAUUUCUCGAAAUUGAUGUAUUCGUUGCAUGCUUGAUUUAUUUUUUGCCAUUGGUCCAAAUCUCAAGGAAUGAAAGUAUGUAUUCUUUUUUUUUUUUAUGAAAAAAGUAUUGUAAUUCGAAAUAGAUUAUUAGCCAAAACGUACACCUUCUUUUCCCUCAUUUGAUCCAACUUCUUACUGAUUCAUAUUCUUCUUAAUUCAUUUUUCAGAAUUUCCUCCAACGGAGAACCAAUCUAUAUCAUGCAUGCACGAUGUUCCAUGUCUCCUUCUCAUUCUGUUGCUUCCAUCUUGAGUUUUUUCCUUUUUUUUUUUUGGAGUACACAAUUCUUGACCUCCCUCAAAGGUCAUUUAAAGGUAAUAAAAUCUCAUAUUGACUUUUAUCUUAUGGGUUGUUCAACAACCAUCUCUUAUCUCUCAUGCUUGACGUAACCAACAGGAAGUUAAAUACUGAUGGAUCCAAAUUGACAAAUGACAUAAACUUACAAGGAAAAAUUCACCGGAAACGGAUCAAGAGGCAAAGAAUUUUCUUCUUCUACUACUAUUCAAAUUGCAGCGGCUGCAACUCACAAAACAAAAGACGACGGACAGAGGAUCUGACUUAUUCUAAACAAAAUCCCAAGGCUACCAUAUGCCUUACGUGGCUUUUUAUCUCUUAGACAUCUAACCUAGAGGUGGCAAAAUGGAUAUAUAGAUCAUAAUUGGUUUCGUAUAAAAGAUUUGUAGAUUAUAUCAUCCAAUUCAUUUAAAUACAUAUAAUAAAUGAUUGUAUGUAGAUUGGAUCUAAAUGGAUGAUAGAUAUCCAAUUAUCCAUUUAAAAAUCAUUUAACUAACGUGCACCGUAUAUUAUAACCACAUGUAUUGAUGUGUAUGGGCAAUUGAAAAAUGCGUGUUUUGAGCUGCAAUGAAAAAAAUGCCUUAGAUACACUGAGAAUUUCAUUUUUGUCCUUUCGUAUACUAACUUUUCUUUUUUUUUAAUCAAAUGGACUACUCCUAAUGAGUCCCUUGAUUCCGAUUUGGCUUCAAAUCACUAUCAUAUAGCAAAACAAAUGUAAAUAUUCACCAAAAAAAAAAAAAAUCUAAAGAUCACACUUCUCAGACUUCAAUAUCCCCAAAGAACCUUUGAUAGUACAAUAUGCAUUUUACAAAUUUGUCAAAACUUGGAAGAUGGCCUUUCCAAAAGUGCAUGUCACAUAAUUGCACACAGAAAAAAUAUACUUUGAGCUCUCGUUGAACUUGAGAUGCCUAGACUACUGAGAGAAAGAAGACUGAGUUUUGGAUUUUUUUCAAAAACUAGUUAGUUAUAGGAAUUUUUGGGAUCAAUUUUGUUUGAUGAGAAUAGGAUGGCUGAUGAAUGAUAGUGAUGCUAGCAAGGUUCUUCUUCGGGAGAAGAUAGACAUGGGAGCCGUCUGUUGAGGGAAUGGGGAGAGAUAGAUAAGUCAGAUUAUACUUUUCGUCCAUCUUUUUUAAUAAUUGGAUAAAUAUAGAUAAAAUGGUUUAUCCAUUUAAAUCCACCAACUUAAUCGGUUUUAAAUGGUUAUCCAUUUAAAGUCAUUAGAUUUAUUUUAGUCAUUCAAAUCCAAAUAAUAGUAGUGGUUCAAUUAUAUGGAUGGAUAAGUGGAUUUCAAUCUAGUUUGCCGCCUCUAGUCUAACCUAUUACUAAUACAUCUUGAAAUUGAAUUCCACGUUGCCCAUCAUACUAACUAAAUAGGACAACUAACACUAGUUUGAUUUAUAGAAAUACUCGUAUGAGAACUAUAGGGUGGGAACAUUACAGACUUUUCAGAUUGUAUUGAUACUUAAAAAAAAAAAAAAAAAAAAAGAACUUGCACUGAUACUUUCACAUUUUUAAAUAUCCUAAAAAUAAUACGAAGAUAAAGUUAGGUUACAUUUUUCUGACAUAUUGUAAUGGGCACUGAAAUGUGAUCUUGAUAUUCAGAGUAAGGCUCUCACUUAACCAUGAGAAACCUCGAGAAGGUAAAUGCAUGUAAUUCUCCCAUGCAUUCUUCAUUCUGCUACUGGUGCAAAUUUUAUGUAAAGUUGAUUAUGGUUUGUAAAUUUGAUUCAACUUAAAGGAGGUAUGGGCAUAGUUGAUAGUACUUCUAUGAUUUGAAAAUUGUACUACUAUGAUAUGAACAAAACCCCAUUGUAUCCCCCCCCCCCCCCACUCUUUUAUUUGACCACGGCUUAAACAUGUUGUGAUAACUGCUUCUUCCUACCAUGCAUAUAUGAUGAUGUACAAUUACAGAGAUACAUUUGUUUAUUUUACAUAAUUAAUGUAGUUGUGUAACUAGUGUUUAUAGAAACUCAUUAAAAAGGGCUCGAGGUGUUGGUGUUUUAAAAAAAAAAUUAGAAUUAAGUUGGAAAAGUGUUUGAGUACAAAUGAGGAUAAUAAAUGCUAGGAUACAGGUAUGAAUUAUAUAGUAAGUAGAUGUGUUAACGAGUAUCAUUAAUACACUUAAUUAAUCUUAGAUUUAUCGAAUGAUGCAUUAAAUAAAAAAAAAAUGGAAAAACUCAAACUUAAGUAAGAAAUUAAUUCGGAGAAGUUUGGGGGAUAAGUGGAGUAACUUAUUAGGUUCUUUAGAAUCUCUUUAUUGUUCUCUAUUGAGUUUAAGGUUCCACCUUCUAUCCAACUUUAACAUUCCUCAAGGUCGUUUGCUACAGUUUCACGUCCUGUACCACGAAUUAUGCAACAAAAUGUGCAUGGCCAUAAAAAUUUUGGUUAACAUCUAUGAACGAACAGUUGGAAUGUCACGUUUUGAUUAGAUUAAUCGAUAUGAUUUAAAAAGAUUGACAAGAAGAGGCUAUUCUAAGUUACCGAAUUCCAUUCUUAAAUUUGUAAUAAAUGAUUAAAAGCGAUGUAAUUAAUGCAUCCAACUGAAUUAAGGGUUAGAGUUAGAGAAACACACCUUUAGACCAAUGGGAUAUACUCCUACACACACUUUAUAUUGAAGGAAGGUGCAUGAAUUUGAAGGACUGCAUAUAUUGUCUGGUGACUAGCUUGAAGGGAUGGUUACUAAUGUAUCCAAUCGAUGGUUUUACAGCCUUUAAGGUUCAUAAACUUGACACAAAACAGGCUUAAUAACUCCUUUAGGUUUAUCACAAUUGCAGUAGUUUUGAUGCUUGAAAGUUACACUAUAACCUUGAGGGAAGUAUUUUUUAAUUAUGAUAACCUCAAAGAAAGUUGGUGUGAUUUAUCCAUAAAUGUAAGUUAGCAAUUACUCAAUUUAACAUAAAGCUUGUUUUGAUGAAGGAAAAGCUUACUUGAUACUAAAAAAUUUCUUCUAUUUAGAGACGAGAAGCAUACAGAACCUAAGAUUGAUGUAUGGUUUAGCACAUUUUGCAUUAUAAUUAUGGUGAAUGUGUUGUAAAUAAAUGUGUAUUUUAAAAGAUUUUGUCCCACGUUAAAAGACAAAGAAACUUUCAAUCAUUUUAUAAUGUUUAACUUCUUAUUGGGCUUAUGUUAAGUUGAUCAUUAGUGUAGAUUCGCGCACAUGAGAACAAAGUUGAGUCAAGCCUAUCUAGUGCAAAUUGAUGGAUUCCCCCCUUUCUUGCACUGAGAUAAAGUUUUAUCUUUCAUCUUAAUCUUUGAGGAUAAAGUUUUGGCAUAUCAUUCUUUCUUCGUUCUUCUCUUCAUUCUUGUUUAUCCUUCUCUAUUAUGUUUAUUCGAUAUUUGCUGGUUCUGUUCCUUCUUGUUUACAAGAAGAUGGUUUGUUUAAUUUUAAAAAAAUAUUUCAAUCUCUUGGAAUAGUUUCUUAAAAUAGUGCUAUUUAGCACGACUCAAACUUGUUUAAAUUAUGUCUAAUAAAUUCUUAAAUUUACCAGCCACUCUUCAUGACUUUUUUUGUUAAUAAAUUCUUAAAUUUACCCAGAAGGAGUCAAAAAUUUCAAUGCCCACCACAAAGUACGCGUCUUUCCGAAACAGCAUGCAGAAGAGGUGAUGAAACUUUCCGUAGCCAUUGACAAGUUGUUUACUUUUCAAUUUUGGACGUACAGUUGUUUACUUUUCAAAUUUGGACGUACAGCAACUUAACUUUCCUUGCUCUUUCACUUUGAAUAAAAGCUAGUGUUAACCACUAGGCCAUUGAUUAAGACUUGGUAAGGUGAGAGGUAAGGGUUUAAAUGUGAUUGUAUAGUAUAUUCGUCUGAUCCGAUAAUGAUUCAGUCCCUUUCGAAUUACUCCAAAACUCUAUUAGGCCCUUUUUCUUCUUAUAGUAUAGGAAGCUAUCGUAUCGAAAAAAAAAACAAAAAAUAAAAGCUGGUGUAAAAAAGAAAUACUUUCUUGUGUUUUCUUAUCUCAUUCUGUCGAACAUCUAAAUUUCAAGGAUUGUAACGUAUAAUAAUAAAUAUGUAGCGUGUAUUAUAGAUAUAAGUACCUAUGACAACGUUUAUUCAGUCUAGCCAUUAGGAUUAGCCUAAUAAUCAGAAAAGAUUGCUGUCAAAUUCAAAAUUCGAACCGUGUGCCUAGCAUAAUAGUUGAGGGGUAAGAAGAUUGGGGGGGAGUAAAAACAAAACAAAACGUUUACUCAAUCCCAAUUUGCAUAGUCUACGACGUAACUGGAAAGUUAGUAGUUGAAUAUUCCAAGACUACCUGGUCAAAAGCAGCCCAACUGUGUUCUGUGGGGACGCACAUGUACCCGGCACCGGAGAAAACCGGUUGUGAUUGGAUGAAAUAAUGCAAUACAUUUUAAAAUUACAAUAAAAGCCCUCUUAAAUAUUUGUUCAUCAUCUAAUGCCCAUUACUUAGAAAAUAUUUUGCGAAUACUCCAACCGAGAUGCCGGUCCCAAUAAAAAGUGAAGAGCAAAAAGUGAAUGUCAAAGAAACGUGGAAAAUAAAGGUACGGAAAGGUAUCCAAAAUUGUUAUAACGAAAAAUGAGUGAAAUUUUCAACAUUAUUUAGUGAAUUUUGUACAUGUCAAAACAAAUAUUGUAGUAGUUUUUAUUUUUUAAUUGAUUUUGAUAUUUGAAAUAAUUUAAACGUAAAUAUAAAAGGAAGAGUUGGGAUAUCAAACAUGAUUAAAAUAAAGGAAUGUGCAAUUUUGGUUCUCCAACGUUUGGUCUAUGAGUUAAACUAAUCCCUGAUAUUUUGACCAAAAUAAAUAUGAUCCCAAAUUUUUUAUUUUAGGCAAAUUUAGGACAACUAAUGGAAAACUGCAAUAUCUAACAAGCAAAAUCAAGUUAAAAUUAGUCAAAAGUUUGAAUUUAUAUUUUUUGGUCCCUUAUGUUUUAAAUAAUUAUAUUUCAAGUGAAAUAAAUGUGAAUUAGAUUAAAUGUAUAAAAAAUGUGUUCUAAAUCUCCUUAAAAGUAAUCUACAUUAUCAAAACAUAUCAUUUAGCCUAAAGAGCAUCGUUUUGUUAAAUUAAUUACAAACAAAUGAUAACACAUAAAUCAUAUAUAAAAGAAAAUUUAGUGAAAAAAAGAGAAUUUUAAUUUGAGUAUAUAUUAACUUUAAUUCUAAACAGUAUAAACCAAAUCGUUGCAUGACUUGUGGAUAUGAAUUUCAAUCGGUUAUGAUUAGGUAUUGUGAUUAUAAUAGCAAGUAAAGAUGAUUUCCAAUAUAAAGGACUCACAUGAAUUUUUAAAAAAUUUCUUACUAUUUCUUCUUAUCUUUCCUUCAUAUUAAAUCAAAUAUUUCAAUAAUACAAUUUAAUGUAUUUAUGUUUAUGUUCAUCUUAAAUUCAUAAUUUUAUUGAAUAAUUUAAAUAAUUAUAAAAUCUUUAUUUCAAUUGACAACUAGUUGAAAUGACAAAAAAAAAGAAAAAGAAAAUAUUAUUCAAUCAACUCAAUGGCAUAUAAUUGUUUAUAGCAUAAUAGAAUAUUUAAUUAAUUAUUUUAAUUUAUCAAAUGUUAGCAUUGGGCAUUAGAUGAUGAACACAUUUUUAAGAGGACUUUUAUUGUGAUUUUUAAAUGUAUUAGUACAUUUUCCAUCCACGCACAACCGGCUUUCUCCCGUGCCCCCAGGAUAACCUUCUUUGUGCGUCCCCACAGAGCACAGAUGACCUCCUUGCAUUGCCACGGCAGAUUUCAUUGCCUAUAAAUUCCAAUUCAGCCUACUUUGAUCGCAGGACCAAUAUUUUGAGAAGAUAGAUAACGACACUCAAUCAAAAAUGGAGCAUAUUAUGAAGUCAUUGGCCGGCAAACAUGGUGAAGGCAACAAGAAGAAGAUCAAGGGAACCGUAGUUUUGAUGAAAAAGAAUGUGUUGGACUUCACUGAUUUCAAUGCUUCUAUUGCUGAUGAAGUUCAUGAGUUGCUAGGCAAGAAAGUCUCUCUACAACUCGUCAGUUCUGUUAACGGUGAUCCAGGUAAUUGACCCAAACUCCCUUGCGAGCAUGCAUCUUUGUCAAAUUAGUAGGGGAUAAUGUAAACAAGAUAAAGAUUAAAGGGUUUUGAUUACAGGUUUCAUUCAACUGAAUUGAACGCUGUGAAUUUUUCAUUUCAUAAGGAAGAAGUGAUUAGGCUAAUUACAGCAAGAAUUGUUGUUCAAUGUCCAAGCAAAAAGUCGUAAGAAUUCCCACCAUACAUUAUUGUUAAGGAUAACAAGAAGUUAUUUCUUUAUGCAAGACAGCUCUCUAUCUUCUGCAGCAUCAUCAUGGCCUGUAUGAAAAAGUGCAAACAUGAAAUACUCAGUUUUGAAUGCAAAUUACGUAUCCAACGACCAAAGAUUGGGGCAGAUUUCUUUUCUUUUUGUAUUUUCGUUGAGGUAGAUUAAAAAAAAUGGGGAUUGGGGCAGAUUCAUACAAUAGUUCAUUUAUGUGGUAGUUGUAUAAAAAAAAAAUUUUGACGUAGAAAAACACAAUAUUGUAUACUGAAAAAAUUGGUGUAUUGAAUAACACAUUGAAUAUUAUGGCAAUUACGAUAACAGGGUCGAAUGGGAUAAAACACAAUUAUAGUUGACCCAAGUCCGGCCAAUUUUAAAAGUCAAAUCCACUGUUCCUAUUCCAAUUCCCAAAUGCGGUCCAAACGACCCAGUCUUUACUCUGUAUGGUCAUCUCAAUGUUAAAAUAGUUGACUGGCCAAUCAAGAAACAGAAAGGGCAGUUUUGUUCAACCAGGUCUAGCCAAUAGACUUUGAACAUUAUUGUUAAAACUCCCGCGUUACCACUUCCACAACGUCUGGCUAAUAGGGGCACGAUUUCUCUGUUUGGGCUUGGAAUAAAAUAUUUUUAGCUGGUAUAAAGGUAAUCACUCUCCAUUCACCAGUCAAAUGACCAUUUGUAUCUUGCAACCAAGAAGUUAAUCAAAAGGAGUAACAUCACUUCAACCGACUAAAUCAAUACUUAAAUUUAAUGGAUUAAAAUUUUAAUAUGUUCAGAAGUAUUUAAUAAUAAAAAAAUAAAAUAUUUUAAUUAAUUAAGUGGGUCUGAAUUGAGCAGGCAAAACCUACUCCAACAAAUUAAGUGAUAAUUCGUUCAUUUAUCAUUUAAUACAAAAUGGAUUCAAAUAUUAGGAUUUGAGUAAUUACAAUUUAGAACUCUUAAUUCGUCAAUGCUAUGCGGACAAAACUCAUAUUAUUUGGCAAAAUUUUGACAAAUGUUUUGAAUGAUUUUUCCUUAUACUCUAUUUGUCCCACUUUGAUAGUUUUUUUUUCCUUUUUUAUCCAUUCUAAAUUAUAGCAAUUGAAGAAUAUAGUUAACUUGCAGCAUCUUUAAAAUACCCUUAUUCAAUGCUUUUUGUUAUCAAUGAUUAUAACUUACCUUAUUUAUUAAUUGUUUGGAUUCAUGCCUUUAAUGGUGGAACUUUUGGUAGUAUUGUUGUUGUAAUUAAUGUAAUGGUAUAGUUAUUGAUCAUACUCCUAAUAUUAAUGUAAGGGGUAUUUGAGAAAAAUCGUAGGCUAGAUUUAUUUUUCUAACAAAAUUAACUAUUUUUUCUUAAAUUGUGUAAAAAAAAAAAAUCAAGACUAUCAAAGUGGAACGGAAAGAGUAUAAUAAUAGUUAAUUUUUUGAUGUCUAAUGCACAAAUCACAAGAAAACCUAGUACUUGAUUUUAUUUUAUUUUAUUUUGUGCAAGUUUCUCGGUGCAAAGGAAAAGAAAUGUUCAAUGUCAACUAUCCCCAUUUGGUCAAAGCACAAAAAUAUUUGCUUAGAUCCCCGUUGCCUAUUUACGAAUCUGUAUACCCCUUUCACCACUGGUCAAGCGCAAAUCAUUAACUGGUAUCUUUCAAUAAACCGCAGUUAUCGACUAAAUCACAAGAUCAUUAGCAAUAUUCAAGAUUCAAACAGAUAAAACAAGAUUAUUGUUUUUAAUGAUCUGUAAGGGUCACUGUUCAUCUUCUUAGUCUAACAUUUCAAGAAAUAGUUCAAUCUUACUGCAGAAAAGAAAUUUAAGCACAGUAUUCAGUAACUUCUCAUCAUGCAUGUUUGCAGAAAAAGGACUGCAAGGAAAACUUGGAAGUCCUGCAUAUUUGGAAGGUUGGAUCACUACAAACCAUCGUCUGACAGUUGGUGAAUCAGUUUUCAAUAUCACAUUUGACUGGGAAGAAGAGGUUGAAGUUCCAGGAGCAUUCAUCAUUCAAAAUCAUCAUCAUAGCGAAUUCUUUCUAAAGACGGUGACUCUUGAAGAUGUACCUGGACAUGGCCGAAUCCACUUUGUCUGCAACUCUUGGGUUUAUCCAGCUAAAAAGUACAACCAAAAUCGUAUUUUCUUUUCAAAUCAGGUACUUCAAGAAAAUCUUGGAUACCAUGUUUAUGCCCUUCGAUCUGAAUUGCAUCGAACAACAUAAUUCCAACAUGGAAUGGCUACUCAAUUGAAGAGAACUCUAAGCAGAAAAUAAUCAAUUUGUAUUUGUUUCAGGCAUAUCUUCCGAGUGAUACACCAGAACCACUGCGCCGAUACAGAGAAGAAGAAUUAUUGACCUUGAGAGGAGAUGGUACUGGAGAACUCCAGGAAUGGGACAGAGUCUAUGACUAUGCUUAUUACAAUGAUCUGGCGGAUCCAGACAAAGGUAGCGACUAUGAACGCCCGGUCCUUGGAGGAUCCACGGAAUAUCCUUAUCCCAGAAGGGGAAGAACAGGCAGACCACCAACAAAGACAGGUCAUACAUUUGAUUAUACUAUUAUGCUAGCCAAAAGAUGCCUGCCAGUUUACUAUGUUUGCUGCUACUAGUAGAGUAGAACUAUGUUUACCAGCCGAAUCAAAGUAGUGGUAAAUUUAUAAUCUCCUAGGCUACUAAUAAUUACCAUCCAUUCUUUUCUAAUCACUUCUUUGUUCUCGACAGAUCCAAAUGCUGAGAGCAGGCUGCCAAUACUUUCAAGCUUAAACAUUUAUGUUCCUAGGGAUGAACGAUUCGGGCACUUGAAGAUGUCAGAUUUCCUAGCUUUUGCAUUGAAAUCCAUUGUUCAAUUGCUUGUCCCUGAGUUUAAGGCUCUGUGUGAUAGAACCCCUAAUGAAUUUGAUAGCAUUGAAGAUACUCUUAAACUCUAUGAAGGUGGAAUAAAGCUACCAGAUGGUCCUUUGCUCAAAAACAUUGUUGAGAACAUCCCCUUGGAGUUGCUCAAGCAACUUCUUCAGAGUGAUGGAGAAGAGUUCCUCAAAUAUCCAACUCCACAGGUUAUUAAAGGUACUCUGUUUGCCUCAUGCCCGUUGCAGGUCUUACUUUUUUCUUUCUUGUUUGCACCUUUUAAGGUGCCAUUUCAAGGUUAUCUUAGAAGCUUUAGUUUGGAACAGAUGACAAAUCUGCAUGGAGGACAGACGAAGAAUUUACAAGAGAAAUGCUAGCUGGAGUGAACCCUGUCAUUAUUAGUCGUCUCCAAGUAAAAUCAAUCUUCCUAGCCUCGUUGGCUCCUUGCUCUCUGUUGUUCUUUAGUUUUGGCUUGUAUUAUUUACUGCAUAACAAACUUUGAGAUCCGCACUGGUCAUCAACAAUUUUUACAUUUCUUUCCUGUGGUCUACGUGCAAAUGCUAGAAUUCAGCAUAGGUUUAAGAUUACUUCACUGACUUUUUCUUUCUUUUGACACCCUGCAGGAGUUUCCACCGAGAAGCAAGCUCAACUCUGCAGUCUAUGGCAAUCAAAAUAGUACAAUAACCAGAGAACAGAUAGAGCAAAGGUUGGAUGGCCUGACAAUUGAUGAGGUAACAAAUGCAAUUAUCUAGUACCCUUGGAUUAACAAAGUAGUAUCAGCAGUACUGUGAAACAGCAAAAGCUACUUAAUACCUAUAAAAUUUUCUUGAACAGGCACUGAAGAUGAAUAGUCUAUUCAUUCUGGAUCACCAUGACACGAUUAUGCCAUAUUUGAGGAGAAUAAACACAACAAGUACAAAGACUUAUGCCACAAGGACUCUGCUCUUUUUGCAAAAAGACGGAACCUUGAAGCCAUUAGCCAUUGAGCUUAGCCUGCCCCACCCAAAUGGAGAUGAAUUUGGUGCGAUCAGUAAAGUAUACACACCUGCUGAACUUGGCCUGGAUGGUUCGCUGUGGCAAUUAGCAAAAGCUUAUGUUGCAGUGAUUGACUCAGGCAUUCAUCAGCUCAUUAGCCACUGGUGAAUAAACAAUAUCAAUAGAACCUUGUUCUGGCAUACUGAACAAUUUAGCCCUUUGACUCAUUCAAAACUUGGACUCAAAGAAAAUGUGAUGUUUUUGCAGGUUAAAUACACAUGCUACAAUCGAACCAUUUGUGAUUGCAACCAAUAGGCAGCUGAGUGUGGUUCAUCCAAUUCAUAAGCUUCUGCAUCCUCACUUCCGUGACACAAUGAACAUUAACGCUUUUGCCCGCCAAAUCCUGAUUAAUGCAGGAGGCAUUGUUGAGAUAACAGUUUUCCCUGCAAAAUAUGCCAUGGAGAUGUCAUCAGUUGUUUACAAAGAUUGGAUCUUUCCUGAACAAGCACUUCCAGCUGAUCUCAUUAAGAGGUAGGCCUCUAUUCUAUAUCACUAUGAAAAGUUAAAAAAAGGGAAAGACAAGCUGAAAAGGAAUGCAAAGUACCAGAUGUUAGAAUAUAAUCUUCAAGCACUAGACUAUAAUUAAACCAAAUAUUUGAUUAUCUGAUCUGGCUCACAUUAUAAGUUACUAUUUGGUAUAACAGAGGAAUGGCAGUUGAGGAUUCUAGUGCUCCACAUGGCCUGCGUUUGUUAAUUCAAGAUUACCCCUAUGCUCUCAUGAAUGAUAUACUUUUGUUUCCAUUUUCCUCAGAAAAAUGGCAGUCGAGGAUUCAACUUCCCCUUAUGGCCUUCGAUUACUAAUUGAGGAUUAUCCCUUUGCUGUCGAUGGAUUGAAGAUUUGGUCAGCUAUCAAAACAUGGGUGACAGACUACUGCUCUUUUUACUACAAAAGUGAUCAGAUGGUUCAAGAAGACACUGAACUACAAUCCUGGUGGAAAGAAGUAAGAGAAAAAGGGCAUGCUGACAAGAAAGAUGAACCAUGGUGGCCACGAAUGAAGACUCUCACUGAGCUAAUUGACUCAUGUACUAUAAUAAUAUGGGUGUCUUCUGCUCUUCACGCAUCAACCAAUUUUGGUCAGUGGCCAUAUGCUGGUUAUGCCCCGAAUCGCCCUACCAUAAGCCGCAGAUUCAUGCCUGAACCUGGUACUCCUGAGUAUGAAGAGCUGAAGUCUAAUCCUGAUAAGGCUUUCUUGAAAACUAUCACACCCCAAUUCCAGACUCUACUUGGUCUUUCCACCAUUGAGAUUUUAUCCAGGCACACUAC
This 19011-nucleotide long non-coding RNA is filed under the name Coffea arabica (coffee). Its description in RNAcentral is "long non-coding RNA (CARA_LNC001988)". The record is from RNAcentral. Lineage: Eukaryota; Viridiplantae; Streptophyta; Magnoliopsida; Gentianales; Rubiaceae.